Molecule: long non-coding RNA, 1423 nt
Filed under: Homo sapiens (human)
Lineage: Eukaryota; Metazoa; Chordata; Mammalia; Primates; Hominidae
Description: HSALNT0329000
Source: RNAcentral
AAAAAUGUAGUUUAACAUUGGAUUUGAUGUGGAGAGUCUGGAAGUGAUCAACAGGCCUUCUCUGAUGCCAACUCUCUGUUCUGAAAAUAUCUUUUUCUGAAAUCUUAUUUCUGCCUCCAAUACACUGCGUCUCCAAUCCAUCCUAAUGUUGGCUGCUGCUGGAGAAAGGAUAAAUUCUCUGUUGUUUCAAGGCUCCUACACAAAUACAAAGCGCGAUGCUGUUGCUACUGGAAGAGAAGUGAAAAAAAACUGCUUAUGUUCAAGACCACCUGGACAAGACUUCUUAACUAUGAAAGGCAGUUUUGUUGCUGUGUAGGAAAAGACAAAAAUACUGAGAAUAGGCUCUCUCCACAUUCUCUGAGACUCAGAGUUAAAGAGACUAAUAGAAGUCUCAAUCCCCGAGACAACCUGAUAGAAGCAGAAGCAUACCAAUUCCCAGGAGUUAAUGCUGUUUACUUUAGUCUCCGUUGUUCUUUUGCAUACAAUACCUAAAUCUAAUUUUAAAAAUCACAAGAGACAUGAAUAAGCAUGAAAAAAAGAACUCAUCAUCAAGGGAGAAAGCAGUCAACAGAACCAGACUCAGAAAUGAAACAUAUUUUGAAACUAUUUGACUAGGACUUUUAAAUAAUUAUAAUGAAUAUGUUCAUUAAUCUAUGGAAAAUAAGAACGGUGUGGAACAGAUGAAGAAUUUUAGCAGUAAGAUAGAAACUAUAAAGGAAAUCCUGUGAAAUGACAGAUUAAGAAAACAUGAUAUGAAAGUUGAAAAAUUUUUUCACAUGCUUAUUUGCAGACUAAAGGCAUUACAGAAAGUUAACUGUGAAUUAGAAUAUAUUUUGAUUAAAGUUUUCCAAAAUAUAAUGUGUGUGUAACUGUGUGUGUGUAGAGAGAGAGAGAAUGAAAUAUAGUGAAAAAAUAAAAUAUCCAAGACCAUUAAUAAAUGAUCUAAUAUAUGUGUAAUUGGACGCCCAGCCUUAGAUGAGAGAAACAAAGAGAAUAGGGCUGUAGAAGCAUUUGAAAAGAUAAUGGGUGAGAACUUUACGAAAUUAAUGAAAGACUAAAUAAACUACAGCUCUAAUAAAUUCAGAGAACUCGAAACUGGAUAAAUAUAAAGAAUAACAUACAUAGGCAUAUCAUAGUCAACCUGCUGAAAACCAAAGAUGAGUAAAAAGUAGUAAAGGUUGGACAAGCUAGAAACACACCUUAUAUAAGGGAACAGAGGUAACAAUUAUAUCAGAUAUAUCAUUUAAAAGUAUGCAGUCCAAAGAAAAUGAGGUAAUAUAUAGUACUGAAAGAAAAACAGCCAAACCAAAAGUUUAAAAUAAACAUUAAAAGCAGUUAUUUAAGCAGAAAUAAUAUAACAGAUACAUUUAUAAAUACACAAAAAAAGAGGUAUAGCAAUGUAAGAAAAUGUAUAAACUAUAUU